This 240-nucleotide unclassified non-coding RNA is filed under the name Megalothorax sp. SA-2014. RNAcentral's name for it is "sequence contains ITS2". The record is from RNAcentral. Lineage: Eukaryota; Metazoa; Arthropoda; Collembola; Neelipleona; Neelidae.
AUGCAGUUGUACUAUAUUUGAUUGGCCGGCUUUAUUUGCUUGGUCUUAUGCAGUACACAGCUUCUUCGCCAAAGUUUUGAGCUUUCAACGCUUAAGAGCUUGGUUAGAUCAUAAAUAGAAUAUUGUACAAAUGGAUAUAUGAGUAAAUCAAAUUGACUCGUGUUUAAAUUGAAAGUACUUAUUCUUAUACGAAAGACUUCUCUUUGCUUUAGUUAGCUUAUGUGAAUUCUCUCUUUGUUG